This 1066-nucleotide long non-coding RNA is filed under the name Accipiter nisus (Eurasian sparrowhawk). RNAcentral's name for it is "lncRNA (ENSANIG00000017875.1)". Lineage: Eukaryota; Metazoa; Chordata; Aves; Accipitriformes; Accipitridae. The record is from RNAcentral.
UGCACGCCCCCUCGUCCUUGUCCCCGCCCAUUUUUCGCGCCUGGGGGGGGCGGGGCAGAGCGGGACCCAGCGGCCGAGGGGUGAGCGGGGGCGGGGGGGUGUCGGGGGGUUUGGGGGGGUCAGGGGGGACACCGAGGGGUGGGGGGGAGGGGCAAAGUGCGGCUGGUGGCAAAGUCCAUCCCAGGGAGGGGUGGGGGGCACAGGUCCCCGGGACCCCCCCGGGACCCCCCCGGCCGCUCUCACCCCAGGACCCGGCAGCAAUGGAGACCCUGAGACGCUGCUUCCGUGGACGGGCCACGCCCACGGCCCUGCCCACGGCUCCACCCCCUCGCCACCCUGGCGCUGGGCUCCGCCUCCGCCUUCCUGGCUGGUAGGGAACUGCCGCGAUCCCCUUACACCCCCUUACACCCCGUUAGCCCCACUGCGCCCCUGUUGCACCCAUUCCACCCCGUUACCCCACUCUACCGCUUACACCGUUUACACCCUGUUACCUCCCUUACACCCCGUUGCACCCCUUACACCCCAUUACCCCGUUCCGCCCAUUGCACCGUUACCUCCCUUACACCCCAUUACAACCCCUUGCCCCCAUUACCCCCUUACCCUCAUUUUACGCCAUUACCUGUGUUACCACAUUGCACCCCGUUACGCUGUUAACCCAUUGCCGUUACACUGCAUUACACCCUGUUACCCCAUUACCCCGGUUACACCCCGUUAUCCCAUUGCACCCUGUUACCCCAAAGAAACCCCGUUAUGCCCCAUUACCGCAACCACACCCCAUUACCCCCCCCCCCCGCCCCCCCGCCCCCCCCUGGCUGAAGCCCCCCCCAUUCCCCCGGCCCCCCCCCCCCCCAGUUCUCUCCCCCCCCCCCCCCCAGGGCUGUUGGUGGCCGGGAUUGGGCACGUCCCCUGUGGGGGUGGGGAGGGGGUGGGGCCUGACCUGGGAGGCUCCACCCCAGAUGAAGCAGGGGGCGGGGCCAGUGCCGAGGCCCCGCCCAUGUGGCCCCGCCUGCGGGAGCUGCUGCAGCGGCACCUGCGGGAGGAACGGAUGUUGGCCUGGGUGCGGUGA